This 540-nucleotide ribosomal RNA is filed under the name Curvibacter sp. enrichment culture. Its description in RNAcentral is "bacterial SSU rRNA". It matches the Rfam family "Bacterial small subunit ribosomal RNA", at positions 374 to 907 of the family's 1533-position model. Lineage: Bacteria; Pseudomonadati; Pseudomonadota; Betaproteobacteria; Burkholderiales; Comamonadaceae. The record is from RNAcentral.
GGCGCAAGCCUGAUCCAGCAAUGCCGCGUGCAGGAUGAAGGCCUUCGGGUUGUAAACUGCUUUUGUACGGAGCGAAAAGGCUUCCACUAAUACUGGGGGCUCAUGACGGUACCGUAAGAAUAAGCACCGGCUAACUACGUGCCAGCAGCCGCGGUAAUACGUAGGGUGCGAGCGUUAAUCGGAAUUACUGGGCGUAAAGCGUGCGCAGGCGGUUAUGUAAGACAGAUGUGAAAUCCCCGGGCUUAACCUGGGAACUGCAUUUGUGACUGCAUAGCUGGAGUACGGCAGAGGGGGAUGGAAUUCCGCGUGUAGCAGUGAAAUGCGUAGAUAUGCGGAGGAACACCGAUGGCGAAGGCAAUCCCCUGGGCCUGUACUGACGCUCAUGCACGAAAGCGUGGGGAGCAAACAGGAUUAGAUACCCUGGUAGUCCACGCCCUAAACGAUGUCAACUGGUUGUUGGGUCUUCACUGACUCAGUAACGAAGCUAACGCGUGAAGUUGACCGCCUGGGGAGUACGGCCGCAAGGUUGAAACUCAAUGA